This 425-nucleotide ribosomal RNA is filed under the name uncultured bacterium. Its description in RNAcentral is "partial 16S ribosomal RNA". It matches the Rfam family "Bacterial small subunit ribosomal RNA", at positions 354 to 796 of the family's 1533-position model. The record is from RNAcentral.
GUGGGGAAUCUUGCGCAAUGGGCGAAAGCCUGACGCAGCCAUGCCGCGUGAAUGAUGAAGGUCUUAGGAUUGUAAAAUUCUUUCACCGGGGACGAUAAUGACGGUACCCGGAGAAGAAGCUCCGGCUAACUUCGUGCCAGCAGCCGCGGUAAUACGAAGGGGGCUAGCGUUGCUCGGAAUUACUGGGCGUAAAGGGCGCGUAGGCGGACAGCUUAGUCAGAGGUGAAAGCCCAGGGCUCAACCUUGGAAUUGCCUUUGAUACUGGCUGUGUUGAGUUUGGGAGAGGUGAGUGGAACUCCGAGUGUAGAGGUGAAAUUCGUAGAUAUUCGGAAGAACACCAGUGGCGAAGGCGACUCACUGGCCCAAUACUGACGCUGAGGCGCGAAAGCGUGGGGAGCAAACAGGAUUAGAUACCCCGGUAGUCC